ACGAACGCUGGCGGCGUGCUUCACACAUGCAAGUCGAACGGAAAGGCCCUGCUUUUGUGGGGUGCUCGAGUGGCGAACGGGUGAGUAACACGUGAGUAACCUGCCCUUGACUUUGGGAUAACUUCAGGAAACUGGGGCUAAUACCGGAUAGGAGCUCCUGCUGCAUGGUGGGGGUUGGAAAGUUUCGGCGGUUGGGGAUGGACUCGCGGCUUAUCAGCUUGUUGGUGGGGUAGUGGCUUACCAAGGCUUUGACGGGUAGCCGGCCUGAGAGGGUGACCGGCCACAUUGGGACUGAGAUACGGCCCAGACUCCUACGGGAGGCAGCAGUGGGGAAUAUUGCACAAUGGGCGGAAGCCUGAUGCAGCAACGCCGCGUGCGGGAUGACGGCCUUCGGGUUGUAAACCGCUUUCGCCUGUGACGAAGCGUGAGUGAUGGUAAUGGGUAAAGAAGCACCGGCUAACUACGUG
RNAcentral lists this ribosomal RNA (467 nucleotides) under uncultured bacterium. RNAcentral describes it as "partial 16S ribosomal RNA". It matches the Rfam family "Bacterial small subunit ribosomal RNA", at positions 29 to 507 of the family's 1533-position model. The record is from RNAcentral.